CAUGCAAGUCGACGCGAAGCGGGCUUCGGUCCGCAAGUAGAGUGGCAGACGGGUGAGUAACGCGUGGGUGACCUGCCUUCGAGUGGGGGAUAACCUUCCGAAAGGGGGGCUAAUACCGCAUAACAUCCCGCCCUUGGAUGGGUGGUGAUCAAAGUCGGGGAUCGCAAGACCUGGCGCUUGAAGAGGGACCCGCGUCCAAUUAGCUUGUUGGUGGGGUAGCGGCCUACCAAGGCGUCUAUCGGUAGCCGGCCUGAGAGGGCGGACGGCCACACUGGGACUGAGACACGGCCCAGACUCCUACGGGAGGCAGCAGUGGGGAAUUGUUCGCAAUGGGCGCAAGCCUGACAACGCAACGCCGCGUGGAGGACGAAGGUCUUCGGGUUGUAAACUCCUGUCGAGCGGGACGAACAGCGUGCGGGUUAAUACCCCGUGCGCCUGACGGUACCGUUAAAGGAAGCCCCGGCUAACUCCGUGCCGGCAGCCGCGGUAAUACGGGGGGGGGGCAAGCGUUGUUCGGAAUUACUGGUCGUAGGGGGCUCGUAGGCGGCCAUCCAAGUACGAACGUUAAAUCCGUCGUCUCAGCGGGGAAUGUGCGAUGCAUACUGUCUGGCUUGGACGCCGGAGAGAUGCAUGCGAAAUU
Molecule: ribosomal RNA, 640 nt
Filed under: uncultured Acidobacteriota bacterium
Lineage: Bacteria; Pseudomonadati; Acidobacteriota
Description: bacterial SSU rRNA
Rfam family: Bacterial small subunit ribosomal RNA
Source: RNAcentral